Molecule: ribosomal RNA, 373 nt
Filed under: uncultured Glomeromycotina
Lineage: Eukaryota; Fungi; Glomeromycota
Description: LSU rRNA
Source: RNAcentral
UUGAAAGGGAAACGAUUGAAGUCAGUCGUACCUGUGGGUAAUCAGCCUUUUGGGUGUGAUUUUGUGGAGUGUGAGGAGUUAAACGCCUUCAUGCCUGCAUAUUCGUGCACUUUGGGUGUAUUUACCCGUGUGGUAAGUUAACAUCAAUUUCGGUGGUCAUAAAAUGGCUGGAGGAAUGUAGCUUUGAUCUCGUAUUGAAGUGUUAUAGCCUUCGGUAGAUGUGAUAAUCGGGAUUGAGGAUUGCAACGGAUACCCUUCGGGGCGACCUGUCUGAUCUCUGAUCGUUGCUCUGGUGCCGAAAGCUUGCUUACGGUUAUCAAAGUCGAUGGUCAAUAGGUUAGAAUGGGUUAAAUUCGUUAAGGAUGUUGACGUA